RNAcentral lists this ribosomal RNA (231 nucleotides) under uncultured bacterium. RNAcentral describes it as "partial 16S ribosomal RNA". It matches the Rfam family "Bacterial small subunit ribosomal RNA", at positions 15 to 235 of the family's 1533-position model. The record is from RNAcentral.
GAUCCUGGCUCAGGAUGAACGCUAGCUACAGGCUUAACACAUGCAAGUCGCGGGGUAACAUCUGGUAGAGCUUGCUCUUCCAGGAUGACGACCGGCGCACGGGUGAGUAACGCGUAUCCAACCUGGCCCAUACCACGGGAUAGCCCGUCGAAAGGCGGAUUAAUACCGUAUGCUGUCAUUAAGAUGCAUAUAUUGAUGACGAAAGGACUGGCGGUAUGGGAUGGGGAUGCG